GAAAAGAAAGAAGAUGGAUUAGAUCCCUACACCAGGCAGGUCCCUGGCCGCUCCUUGUCUUUUCUUGUGACAUCAGGAGUGCAGAGAAGCCUGCAGUCUACAGUGUGAGCAGCACUGUGGUUCCUCAAGCCAGAAAUGAAGUGACAGGGGUGAUUUUGAGCGGAGGAGCACACG
This is a non-coding RNA of Vicugna pacos (alpaca), 174 nucleotides long. NCBI's taxonomy places the organism in Eukaryota, Metazoa, Chordata, Mammalia, Artiodactyla, Camelidae. The record is from RefSeq and is a predicted model, not a curated record.